This 274-nucleotide ribosomal RNA is filed under the name uncultured bacterium. RNAcentral's name for it is "partial 16S ribosomal RNA". It matches the Rfam family "Bacterial small subunit ribosomal RNA", at positions 523 to 796 of the family's 1533-position model. The record is from RNAcentral.
AUACGGAGGAUGCGAGCGUUAUCCGGAUUUAUAAGGUUUAAAGGGUGUGUAGGCGGUAUUUUAAGUCAGUGGUGAAAUCUCGGAGCUUAACUUCGAAACUGCCAUUGAUACUGGAAUACUUGAGUAUAGUUGAGGUAGGCGGAAUAUGUAAUGUAGCGGUGAAAUGCAUAGAUAUUACAUAGAACACCGAUUGCGAAGGCAGCUUACUAAACUAUUACUGACGCUGAUGCACGAAAGCGUGGGGAGCGAACAGGAUUAGAAACCCUAGUAGUCC